This is an RNA transcript of Cyanidioschyzon merolae strain 10D, 2182 nucleotides long. RefSeq lists it as hypothetical. The transcript has a single exon. The record is from RefSeq and is a predicted model, not a curated record. NCBI's taxonomy places the organism in Eukaryota, Rhodophyta, Bangiophyceae, Cyanidiales, Cyanidiaceae.
GCGUACUUCUCCUCGAGCGUAUCGUGCCCGGGAAACGACGAAUUCACUAUGUUUACCAUACAGGUUAAUCUUUGUGUUCCCAGAUCCUGGACAGGAGCGCUCAGGCUGCGCAACGACCUGCGCCGUGGUGACGAGUGGUCUCGCUCGUUACCUGGUCGACCCAGGCAAGCUGGUCGGCGGGGUGCUCGGGGAGUCCGCAGCCUCGGACACGUGCGAACCUCGCGUCGUGGCUGGCACUCAAGCUGUGCGGGGGACAACUCCAGGAAAACGCCUUCAUCACCGGGACCCGAGGAAAAUGCUCCGAAAGACGUGGAUACAGAGCCAAUUGUGUUGCGCCUUGGGCGUUGUCGACGUUGUGGCGAGCUGUUCGAAGAGCGUCUCAACCACAAGCGAGCUUGUCGUUUCCACGGACACCCGCUUGGCGACCGCGGCUACUAUCGAUUGUUCAUGGUGCCUCGCGAAGAAGCCGAAGCCUCACUCACCUGGCCCGAGUACGGAAGAGAUACGGGCUCAGCGAGUCGGUGGGUCCUCCAGUAUCGCUGGUCGUGCUGCGGGAGCACGCAUCCGGACUCGCUUGGUUGUCGCCUUGAUCGCCACCUUAGCUGGGAUGCAGAGCUUAAGUCAUAUGAAGGCGUUUUGAACGAUGCACAGUUGGCUGCGUGGAAGCUGCGAUCGCAGUGGGGCUAACGCUGGCGCAGAUGCAUCCGCGCUGCUUCAAUCGUGUCUGUGGUGGACAGGAGAGAGCGUCCACGCGAUAGUGUGUCCAUCGCUCCUUUCAGAAACGUAUGCUGUUACCGAAAGAGCAUGUUCACAAGCGAACACGGGCGGUCCCCUCACUGCAGGACGACAGGGCGGUGUAGCGCUUUCGUACGAGCCCGGAUCCUGCUUUCGAUGGAUGCGUAAAAUGCCACUGCGGACGCAUACUUGCUUCGGUACCGCGGCACCAGAAAACACAUGGCAUAAGUUGAAGGGAAUGCUUCAGGAAGCUGUGCCCGUACUGGUCACAACCAAUCGCUGAAGCUGUGCACCUCGCUCAAACAAUGAUGGUGCCUGCCCGAAAGCAUGCCGAGUGAGACGGCGAUUACAAGCCGCAUACGGAUAGCGAUGUCUUCAGAAUCUCCUACGAUGCAGCGGUGAGGAAGUAAUACUUUGUAGCGGCCUGAGUGAGGCCCAGUGCCAAUGAUCCCACAAAUCGAUGCAUUCGGCCGCGACGCAUCCACGGCAAAAGCACACAGCGAACGAUAACGUUGGAGUAUACGGGUUCUCGUAACAGGUACAAGAGCAGCGGCGAAGGUGGUGGUAUCCGGACCCCUUCUCGGUGUGAAAUGUCGCCAGCAGGCGAGCCGUCACCGCCACCCUGCAACAACCAGCGCCUCGAUAUCACAUCCAGCAUGAACGAAAUGAGCCAACUACUCCACGGUGCGACACGUGGCACAAAGGCAAGAUAGAUAACUGGUCGCCAAACGCGGAUCCAAGUGGCGAUCUUGGAACGGAGAUCGUCACCGGGAACCCAUACGAAGGGUGCAGCACCUGCAGCGCUUCGCCGGUUCCUCUGCGCAUUUUGCUCGUGAAUGCUCUGUAGGUAGCGUUCAGUCGCCGCCCAGAGUCGUUCAGCCAUAACGAGCCCGCGCCGAUCAGCAACAAACAUGAAGAUGUCCUCAAUCGGUACUGAGGCGGCUGCAGUCGGAUGCCUCUGAUCCAUGUUCGCGUAUUUGGAACAGGUUUGCUCCGCACAUGCCUGCUCAUCAGCGACGGUUGCUUGACUGGGCCGCCUCAAUGGAGGGGGUUCAGUUGGCGUUAUGUCACCAAGAACCGUUGUUGUUGUUGUUGUUGUUGGACGUAUUGAGGUGAAAAAUGAACGUCCACUGCGCUCGCCGCGCCGAGGAACAAUCCGGAGUUGCAGUGCUCCCUGUCGCUCCCAGUCGAGCAGCAUCUUCUUGAUCUGUGCACGUUCAUUCUGCGCACAGUCAUAUGCACCUCUUGUUGAGGAGAGGUUGUUCGUCUGCUCGGGAACGGCGGUUCGCAGGACCGCCUUGAGCGUUUCAAGGACCAGUACCAUGUUGUAGGAGCGUCGGAAGCCUCUGGAAUAGUGGGUGCGCGCAUGCGCCGACUCAAGCGCGUUUCCUAGGUUUGCAGCUCGCACUCGAGUACCAAUCCAGGAAUAAAACCAAUGGUUUUGGCG